Molecule: ribosomal RNA, 183 nt
Filed under: Hydrolagus mitsukurii (spookfish)
Lineage: Eukaryota; Metazoa; Chordata; Chondrichthyes; Chimaeriformes; Chimaeridae
Description: partial 12S rRNA
Source: RNAcentral
CGCCGCGGUUAUACGAGCGGCCCAAAUUAAUAAAAUUAACGGCGUAAAGAGUGUAUAAGAUAAAUCUUGUCCGACUAAAGUUAAAAUGAUGCUUAGCUGUUAUACGCACCUGCACCCAUGAAAACCUAUUACAAAAGAAACUUUACAAAAACAUAGACCUCUCAAAACACGAUAGCUAAAAAA